CCUACGGGAGGCAGCAGUGAGGAAUAUUGGUCAAUGGGCGCGAGCCUGAACCAGCCAAGUCGCGUGAGGGAUGAAGGUCCUAUGGAUCGUAAACCUCUUUUAUAAGGGAAUAAAGUGUGGGACGUGUCCUAUUUUGUAUGUACCUUAUGAAUAAGGAUCGGCUAACUCCGUGCCAGCAGCCGCGGUAAUACGGAGGAUGCGAGCGUUAUCCGGAUUUAUUUGGUUUAAAGGGAGCGUAGGCGGCCUUUUAAGUCAGCGGUGAAAGUCUGUGGCUCAACCAUAGAAUUGCCGUUGAAACUGGGGGGCUUGAGUAUGUUUGAGGAAGGCGGAAUGCGUGGUGUAGCGGUGAAAUGCUUAGAUAUCACGAAGAACCCCGAUGGCGAAGGCAGCCUGCCGGGCCAUGACUGACGCUGAUGCGCGAAAGCGUGGGGAUCAAACAGGAUUAGAUACCCCUGUAGUC
This 460-nucleotide ribosomal RNA is filed under the name uncultured bacterium. Its description in RNAcentral is "partial 16S ribosomal RNA". It matches the Rfam family "Bacterial small subunit ribosomal RNA", at positions 338 to 795 of the family's 1533-position model. The record is from RNAcentral.